RNAcentral lists this ribosomal RNA (398 nucleotides) under uncultured bacterium. RNAcentral describes it as "partial 16S ribosomal RNA". It matches the Rfam family "Bacterial small subunit ribosomal RNA", at positions 338 to 733 of the family's 1533-position model. The record is from RNAcentral.
CCUACGGGAGGCUGCAGUGAGGAAUAUUGGUCAAUGGACGAGAGUCUGAACCAGCCAAGUAGCGUGAAGGAUGACUGCCCUAUGAUUUGUAAACUUCUUUUAUAUGGGAAUAAAAUGUUCCACGUGUGGGAUUUUGUAUGUACCAUAUGAAUAAGGAUCGGCUAACUCCGUGCAAGCAGCCGCGGUAAUACGGAGGAUCCGAGCGUUAUCUGGAUGUAUUGGGUUUAAAGGGAGCGUAGGUGGAUUGUUAAGUCAGUUGUGAAAGGUUGCGGCUAAACCGUAAAAUUGCAUUUGAAACUGGCAGUCUUGAGUACAGUAGAGGUGGGUGGAAUUCGUGGUGUAGCGGUGAAAUGCUUAGAUAUCAAGAAGAACUCAGAUUGCGAAGGCAGUUCACUGGA